CAAUAGCGUAUAUUAAAGUUGUUGCAGUUAAAAAGCUCGUAGUUGGAUUUCUGGUCGGAAGCUCCUGUCCUCUGAUGAGCGUACAAGUGCGUCCUACCAUCCUUCUGUUAACCUUUAAGGCUUUCGCGGCUUUCUAGGGGCUCAGAUAUUUUACCUUGAGAAAAUUGGAGUGUUUCAGGCAGGCUAGCGCCGGAAUACAUUAGCAUGGAAUAAUGGAAUAGGACUUUUGCCUCUUCUGUUGGUCAUGAGGCUCGAGUAAUGAUUAAUAGGGAUAGUUGGGGGCAUUAGUACUUAACUGUCAGAGGUGAAAUUCUCGGAUUUGUUAAAGACUAACUUAUGCGAAAGCAUUUGCCAAGGAUGUUUUCAUUAA
RNAcentral lists this ribosomal RNA (370 nucleotides) under uncultured eukaryote. RNAcentral describes it as "partial 18S ribosomal RNA". It matches the Rfam family "Eukaryotic small subunit ribosomal RNA", at positions 592 to 976 of the family's 1831-position model. The record is from RNAcentral.